Molecule: ribosomal RNA, 440 nt
Filed under: uncultured bacterium
Lineage: Bacteria
Description: partial 16S ribosomal RNA
Rfam family: Bacterial small subunit ribosomal RNA
Source: RNAcentral
CUACGGGCGGCUCCAGUCGGGAAUAUUGCGCAAUGGAGGAAACUCUGACGCAGUGACGCCGCGUAUAGGAAGAAGGUUUUCGGAUUGUAAACUAUUGUCGUUAGGGAAGAUAAAAGACAGUACCUAAGGAGGAAGCUCCGGCUAACUACGUGCCAGCAGCCGUGGUAAUACGUAGGGAGCAAGCGUUAUCCGGAUUUAUUGGGUGUAAAGGGUGCGUAGACGGGAAGACAAGUUAGUUGUGAAAUCCCUCGGAUUAACUGAGGAACUGCAACUAAAACUAUGUUUCUUGAGUGUUGGAGAGGAAAGUGGAAUUCCUAGUGUAGCGGUGAAAUGCGUAGAUAUUAGGAGGAACACCGGUGGCGAAGGCGACUUUCUGGACAAUAACUGACGUUGAGGCACGAAAGUGUGGGGAGCAAACAGGAUUAGAUACCCUAGUAGUC